Molecule: transfer RNA, 97 nt
Organism: Baudoinia panamericana
Lineage: Eukaryota; Fungi; Ascomycota; Dothideomycetes; Mycosphaerellales; Teratosphaeriaceae
Rfam family: tRNA
About the family: Transfer RNA (tRNA) molecules are approximately 80 nucleotides in length. Their secondary structure includes four short double-helical elements and three loops (D, anti-codon, and T loops).
Source: Rfam
GGACCUUUGGCGCAGUGGUAGCGUAUCUGAUUCCAGACAGCCAAAACUGUUGGAAUGAGUCUCCAGAUGGUCGUCCGUUCAAAUCGGGCAAGGUUCA